This 258-nucleotide ribosomal RNA is filed under the name uncultured bacterium. Its description in RNAcentral is "partial 16S ribosomal RNA". It matches the Rfam family "Bacterial small subunit ribosomal RNA", at positions 524 to 778 of the family's 1533-position model. The record is from RNAcentral.
UACGAAGGGGGCUAGCGUUGCUCGGAAUCACUGGGCGUAAAGGGUGCGUAGGCGGGUCUUUAAGUCAGGGGUGAAAUCCUGGAGCUCAACUCCAGAACUGCCUUUGAUACUGAGGAUCUUGAGUACGGGAGAGGUGAGUGGAACUGCGAGUGUAGAGGUGAAAAUUCGUAGAUAUUCGCAAGAACACCAGUGGCGAAGGCGGCUCACUGGCCCGUAACUGACGCUGAGGCACGAAAAGCGUGGGGGAGCAAACAGGGA